AACCGGUUCAGAUAAGUUCAGUUCAGUUCAGUAAAUGUGAACAUGCCCUAAGUCAUGGUAUAUUUAGGUAGGGUAAAGUUUACAUUAGUUUUCCGAAUACUACGAAUGUAAUGUUAUAAUCUAAUACCUAUAUUUUAUAUUUUGUGCACAAAUUAUACACAUUGGCUAUUUUCACUUUACAUUAUACUAUUUAAGUUGAUAGCAACUUAUUUUAUAAAUAAUAAGGGUGUAUUCUAUUCACCUGGUUUUCACUGAUCUUAACUUAUCUGAACUUAUUAGACCUAGCUUAUUAAAACUAAUUUUAAUUGUAAUUUGUACUUGAGGUAAACCUUAAACCUGAACAGAACUUAUCUGAACUUAUUACACCUGAAAUAAGUGAAAAUAAGGUGAACUGAACAAACCCUAACUUUUGUAUGUAACUUGUCAUACUAUAUGACCAUCCACCCUGAAUUACUCGGUUAGUGUAAUAGGGGGUAAUUUGUUAUGGUUAUAAGGGUUACUUAAUUAAUAGUAAGGUAGGAGUUAGUUUGUCAUUGUGGUAAGAGUUAUUUAAUAAGUAAAAUAAGUGGUUACUCCAUUAGUGUGACAAUGGUCACUUAAUAAGUGUAUAUAAUAAGGGGUUACUCGAUCAAUAUAAAUAGAAAAAAUCACUUAUCAUGAUUAUCUUCAUGAUAAUUUUGGCAGAAUUUCGUUUCAAAAUCGGGAAAUUUGCGAAACUAAACUAGCCCCAAAAAAUUGAGAGGGAAUUACUUUGAUUUCAUCUGUUAUUCCCUCCCCGAUUUUGUGAAAUACUCCGUAUGUGGUGAUUUAUCCCUUGUCUAUCUUUCUUUAUCAAAUUUUCCUCCCGUAAUUUUACCCUAAGCAAUUUCAAAAAACAAUCUUACUGAACUCUGGACGAGCGAAGGGAGACGAAUUAAAAUAGCGUUUGGAGUUUGUGGCCGAUCGAACUUGAUUGGUCAGAGUACAUAUCACUAUCCAAGUGCUGAUAUGUCUAGAUCGGGUGGAAAAGCACAUUCAAAGUAUGAUUACAUAAGCCAAAAUGAGUAUGAACAACAAAGUCUCGAGACAAUUGAAACUAACAAGAUUAGAAUGAAGACAUUGGGCAUAAAGCGCAUUACUGCCUGUUUGACAAGCUUAGUAAGUAGUUCGAAAGUUAAGAAAAGUAAGCAGAAGUACAAUGUUUCCCUUGAGAAAGAUGGUGAUUAUGUACCCGAGGAAAAUGAGGAAGUUGAGUUCGAGCAAGAAACUCACAAUGUGACUUCAAAUAAAAAGAGAUUAUACAAUGAAGAUGGCUAG
This is a long non-coding RNA of Chenopodium quinoa (quinoa), 1296 nucleotides long. RefSeq lists it as uncharacterized. NCBI's taxonomy places the organism in Eukaryota, Viridiplantae, Streptophyta, Magnoliopsida, Caryophyllales, Amaranthaceae. The transcript has 3 exons. The record is from RefSeq and is a predicted model, not a curated record.